RNAcentral lists this long non-coding RNA (890 nucleotides) under Junco hyemalis (dark-eyed junco). RNAcentral's name for it is "lncRNA (ENSJHYG00000011115.1)". Lineage: Eukaryota; Metazoa; Chordata; Aves; Passeriformes; Passerellidae. The record is from RNAcentral.
ACAAAUCUCAGCAUGCUUUGGGAGAGAAAAAAUGGCUGCUCAAAGAUGGACUACAAAUCCCGGCAUGCUUUGGGGGAAGUCAACAUGGCUGAUCCAUCACAGACUACAAAUCCCAGCAUGCUUUGCAGGGAACUGAAAUGGCUGAUCAUACAUAAACUACAAAUCCCAGCAUGUCUUGGGGGAGCCAAGAUGGCUGCCAUGGGCAGGAACUACAAUUCCCAGCAUGCCUUGGGGGGGGGUGUGUGUGUGUGUGUGUGUGUGUGUGUCCAUAUCCCAGCAUGCCCCUCCCUGCCCCAAGAUGGUGUCCCCCAUGGUGGCAGCCAUGUUGUGGGCGUGGUUUCCCCCGCAGUGCUGCUGCAGUUCCCGGAGCCAGCUCCUGAUUGGCUGGAGCCGCUCGGCCCCGCCUUCCUGACUCUCUCAGGGGCGGGGUCUGUGGAGCUCCUCCCCCCUGGGGCGGAGCCUGGGCCGGGCUGGGCGGGGGCUCCCGCGGGUUCCGGAACCUUCGUGCACCUGCGCAUCCAGGGCCUGGUGGACCCCGACGCCGCCCGGGCCCAGCAGCAGCACCAGGUUCGUUAACAGAGAGCCUUAAUUAGCACCGGAGCUUUAAUUAGCAGUGCUUAUUAGGCCAAGGGGGGAACGGCCUCGUUAGCGCUGCCCUGAUUAACGCUCAUUAAUAUUCAUUAAUAUUCAUUAACCCCUCCCUCCCCAGGCCCGAGAGGAGCUGGAGCGGAGCCUGGAGGGGCUGGAGACCCCCGGGGACCCCAAAGGGACCCCCAAAAACACCCCGGGACCCCCAGAGACCCCCGGGGACCCCCAAAAGGAGCCCCAGGUUAGAGGCAGCCAAGGAGUUCUUAAAUAAAUAAAUAAAUAAUUAUUUAUGAGCUAAAUAA